Non-coding RNA from Paramuricea clavata, 1102 nucleotides. The record is from the annotation of a GenBank genome assembly. Lineage: Eukaryota; Metazoa; Cnidaria; Anthozoa; Malacalcyonacea; Plexauridae.
GUUAAUAUGGCGGAAUACGAAAUAGAGCCACUAAAAGUGCUCUAGCUUUUUAUGUAUCCAAGCAAAACUCAUGAUACUUUGAAAUAUCAUAAAGAAGAGGUUGUUCUUUGAUUUAAUUGUCACUAUGAGGAUGAGAAACGAAUUUAAGUGUGGAAUUUGGCCAUUGUCAUACAUCGAUUAAUUUCACCUCGGUCUUUGGCGAAUAGUGAUAAACAUAUAAAGUUAUAUAGCUUAUGUGUGGUUAGUCCGAUCGCCGUAAAAUAUGUUUUGAGUGAUAGGUUGGUGAUAUUUCAUGGUGUACAAAAGGAUUAAGGACGUGAAUGCCAUGAACAAUGAAGGAAAUAAAUCGAGUUCAUCGAACCUUCUGUGAAUCUGGGAUCACCUAUUCAAUACAGUGUAAUUCAACUUGGCAUAUUGGCCUACAAUCGUUUAAUAUAAAAUAAUAUUGCGAUAUGAAAGAAAUUGCUGGACCUACUUCUUCAAAAAUGAAUUUUGGGGAUAAUAUAUUGACUUGAACCUAUUGAAAUCCUUUGGCUGUGACUUUACAAAUUUGGUAUCACAAGUGACAAGGCCUCCUAUGACAUUAUCAUGACUGUUCAUUGAUAUUGGAAAAAUAGUUUAAAGAUCAAUGCUUGGAUGAAUCAGGGAACUUCAUUUACAAAACAGACAAUAAGAGACCUGAUUUAUCUUAACAACAGUUUAAAUUAUAAAUCUGUGAGAUUCUAAUAUACACUCUAGUUUUUAAGAUACAUAUUAACAGUUUACUCUACAAUGAGGGGAAAAUAAUCUGAAUAUGAGAAUUUUCUCUGUUACUCAAGUUUAUGUUACAUUUAGCACCAAGUAUAUUAUUGUUGCUAUCACCUUAGGGGCUGUUUACAUGAGCCCGGCUAGCCAUGCAGGCUGGCCCGGUUAACCAGGCUGAAGGCCUGGCUAGCCAGGAGGUUACCUGAGCUGGUGACUUUACAUGGAGAAAUUUCAGCCCGGUUAUCCGGGCAUCCCAUUUGACUCAAGUGAGAUCUCGGCUAGGCAGAUUCUUGUUAAAUGAUUUGUAUUAAUCUGGGUGCCUCGGUUAACAGGACUAGUCGGACUCAUGUAAAUAGCC